Molecule: long non-coding RNA, 998 nt
Organism: Sphaerodactylus townsendi
Lineage: Eukaryota; Metazoa; Chordata; Lepidosauria; Squamata; Sphaerodactylidae
Exons: 3
Source: RefSeq, a predicted model, not a curated record
ACAAAAGGCAAGUGUCCAGCAGCAGCAGCAGCAGCAGCAGGGCGUGCCAGUGACUCCUCCUCUGCCAGGAAACAAUCAGAGUUCAAGUAAUUUAGAGGAAUUCCCAUCUAGGUCUAAAACAUGUAAUAGUUCUGAAGAGGAGUCCAGGCGCUGGACGUUCCCGCACUGAGCACGUGUAUGGACGCACCCUUCAAGUCUGCUUCCGGGAUCAGCUCCGCUGAAAUGAAGAGGGAGCACAGCUGUCCCACCAGCUCCGGAGAUCUGCCGGUGGAUGCUCACAGCCUAAAAACACAAAACAUCCAGUAAUAUCAACUGACAACUGUUAAUCCCAGUCAACAAUUCCAGAAGCACACAAAGUGUCCUUAGAGAACUGGAUAAUCUCUUUCACUCUCUCCUGGCAAGGCUGAAAGACGAAGGGAAAGUAUUUAAGAGUGCACCACACUGUUCGUGAAACCAGGUUAAACUCUGACUUUGUCUCCUUUCAGCAAUAAGAAUAUUUAUAUGUUGAGCAAUUCUCGUGUUACAUUCAAUGCAUGUACAGCUAAAUGUAAUUGAAACCCCACAUUUCUCCCGGUACUGUUCCCCCAUUUCAUUGGUAAACACAUAGGGUAUCUAUGUGUUCACUGUAACAUGUGAACGGGGCUGUUAAACACUCAAGCAGGAUAACCAGUUUCUUAAUAGAUAACAACUAAAAGAACUUAACGAAGAGUCUCUUGACUUGGUUCAGUAGUUUCUGUGCUGUCAUACUUGAUUCUCUUAAGGAAAAAAAUCACACCAGCCUGCCAACCACUAGGUCACACCCCCAAAGCACAGAGUCAGAGUUAUAAGAGACCAGAAGGGCCAUCAAAUCCAACCCCUGCUGUGCAGGAAGACACAGUUAAGAAAGGACUCCUGACAGAUGGCCAUCCAGCCUCUGUUUAAAAACCUCCAGAGAAGGAGACUCCACCACUCUCAGAGGCCGUGCAUUCCACUGCCAAACAGCCCUGACGGUCAGGAAG